This 898-nucleotide long non-coding RNA is filed under the name Nicotiana tabacum (common tobacco). Its description in RNAcentral is "long non-coding RNA (NTAB_LNC003576)". Lineage: Eukaryota; Viridiplantae; Streptophyta; Magnoliopsida; Solanales; Solanaceae. The record is from RNAcentral.
AACCAGGUUCAAGUCAACCCACAGCAGCAGCUUCCACCUACUGGGCAGUCUCAUACCCAAAUUCCAUCACAAAUACUUCCAGCUUCUCAUGCUCAGCCACCUACUCAGCCUCCGCCAUAUCCUCAGCCCUAUCCGAUGCAACCUCAUUCACAACAGCAUGUGCAGGUGCCACAGUAUCAGCAGCAUCCUGCCCAGGUUCACCCUCCCCAGUCUUCUCAAGCCCAACCGCAGCCGUUUGUGCAUCAACCUCAUUCACAACUUCAACCGCAGAUAAAUGUUCAACAUCAUCAACAAUCUCAUGGCCAAUUGCGCCCCCCUCAGGCUGGCCAACCUGCUCAUGGACAGACUCAGACCCUCCAUUCAACAGCCAAUGCAGUUUCAGGGUACAAUUCCUAUCCGCAACCCCAGCCCAUGCAGCAAAUGCCUAUAGGGUUUACACAGCAAACUCCAAUACGUCCACAUCCUACUAGUGGGCCUAUUCCUCCCGUUCAAACUCAUAGUCAGGUUCCUCAACAACCUCCUUUGCGCACCAAUCAGCAAUGGGGCUUGGUACCUUCUCAAGGUCAAACUCCUGCACAGUCUCAACUUUAUCCUGCUCCACAUGCAGGGCAUUUAAUUCAGCAACAUCCUGUUCAGCCUAAUCAACAACCAAUGUCUCAGCAAUACAGUCAACAGCAGGCAUUUCCUGGUCCAUUGCAGAGUCAGUCACACCAACAGGGUCAUCUUACUCACCAGCAGCCUUUGCAGUCUCAGUUUCGCCCGCAAGGUCUUCCUAGUGUGGUGCCUCAGAAUACACACACAUAUAUCCAACCACAUCAAAAUGUUUCCUUACCACCUCCCCCACAGCUUCAACAAUCUCAAACAUAUAUAGGAAGACCUGGGAUGCAAAAUCAUGUCC